AGCCACCGUGCCCAGCCUAAUCCAGCCACAUUUCAUAUGUGCAGUAGCCACCAUAUCGAGUAGCAUGACUGCAGAGGAUCGCUGCAUCGGCCACAGAAGUGCCUCAUUCCUGCUCUCAAAGAGAAAUGCAGAAAUGCCAAGGAGCCCUUCUUGUUGAUCCUCCCAAAGAAAAUAAAGUGAGGUGGGGUAGCACAGAAUAAUUCUGCAGAUUGGCUUCUUCAUAAAAUAUUUAUUUUCUUGUGUACAGACUU
This 251-nucleotide long non-coding RNA is filed under the name Homo sapiens (human). Its description in RNAcentral is "non-protein coding lnc-SP5-2:1". Lineage: Eukaryota; Metazoa; Chordata; Mammalia; Primates; Hominidae. The record is from RNAcentral.